RNAcentral lists this ribosomal RNA (484 nucleotides) under uncultured bacterium. RNAcentral describes it as "partial 16S ribosomal RNA". It matches the Rfam family "Bacterial small subunit ribosomal RNA", at positions 28 to 523 of the family's 1533-position model. The record is from RNAcentral.
GAUGAACGCUGGCGGCGUGCUUAACACAUGCAAGUCGAACGGUGAAGCAGGAGCUUGCUCUUGUGGAUCAGUGGCGAACGGGUGAGUAACACGUGAGCAACCUGCCCCUGACUCUGGGAUAAGCGCUGGAAACGGCGUCUAAUACUGGAUAUAUGAUGUGACCGCAUGGUCUGCAUCUGGAAAGAAUUUCGGUUGGGGAUGGGCUCGCGGCCUAUCAGCUUGUUGGUGAGGUAAUGGCCCACCAAGGCGUCGACGGGUAGCCGGCCUGAGAGGGUGACCGGCCACACUGGGACUGAGACACGGCCCAGACUCCUACGGGAGGCAGCAGUGGGGAAUAUUGCACAAUGGGCGGAAGCCUGAUGCAGCAACGCCGCGUGAGGGAUGACGGCCUUCGGGUUGUGAACUUCUUUUAGCAGGGAAGAAGCGAAAGUGACGGUACCUGCAGAAAAAGCACCGGCUAACUACGUGCCAGCCGCCGCGGUAA